Molecule: ribosomal RNA, 253 nt
Filed under: uncultured bacterium
Lineage: Bacteria
Description: partial 16S ribosomal RNA
Rfam family: Bacterial small subunit ribosomal RNA
Source: RNAcentral
UACAGAGGGGGCAAGCGUUGUUCGGAAUUACUGGGCGUAAAGGGCGCGUAGGCGGCCGCCUAAGUCAGACGUGAAAUCCCUCGGCUCAACCGGGGAACUGCGUCUGAUACUGGGUGGCUUGAAUCCGGGAGAGGAAUGCGGAAUUCCAGGUGUAGCGGUGAAAUGCGUAGAUAUCUGGAGGAACACCGGUGGCGAAGGCGGCAUUCUGGACCGGCAUUGACGCUGAGGCGCGAAAGCCAGGGGAGCAAACGGG